AACGAACGCUGGCGGCGCGCCUAAUACAUGCAAGUCGAGCGAGAAGACGUAGCAAUACGUUUGUAAAGCGGCGAACGGGUGAGGAAUACAUGGGUAACCUACCCUCGAGUGGGGAAUAACUAGCCGAAAGGUUAGCUAAUACCGCGUACGCUCCUUGGACUUCGGUUCAGGGAGGAAAGCGAUACCGUGGGUAUCGCGCUCUUGGAUGGGCUCAUGUCCUAUCAGCUUGUUGGUGAGGUAACGGCUCACCAAGGCUUCGACGGGCAGCUGUUCUGAGAGGACGAUCAGCCACACUGGCACUGCGACACGGGCCAGACUCCUACGGGAGGCAGCAGUAAGGAAUAUUGCGCAAUGGGCAAAGCCUGACGCAGCGACGCCGCGGUGGGGGAUGAAGGUCUUCGGUAUUGUAAACCCCUUUCGGGAGGGAAGAUGGAACGAGCAAUCGUUCGGACGGUACCUCCA
This 462-nucleotide ribosomal RNA is filed under the name uncultured bacterium. RNAcentral's name for it is "bacterial SSU rRNA". It matches the Rfam family "Bacterial small subunit ribosomal RNA", at positions 29 to 483 of the family's 1533-position model. The record is from RNAcentral.